GGCAACUGGGCAAAUUUUCCUCUGGACUCACCGCUCGUCACCACUGCCCUGGAUGUCGCCUUCCAUCGCUGUCGCCGCGUCCCCGGGGUGUCCCCGACCCUCCGGCAAGGCCUCUGCUUCCCCGGCAUCCUCGCUCUCCGACGCCGCUCCUAUUGGAUGACGGGACGGCGUGCGCAGCGACGUGAUGACGUUGGAGGAGAGCGCUGGCGAUGCAGGGAUCCCGAAGCGGACGCGCCGGAGCCCCGAGGACAGACGAUUCCAGGGGUAAGAUGAAGAAAUAUGAGGGAGCAAGCAGAGAUCUUGAAACUAGUGAGAAAUUGGAAGAUAUAGUUUAAAGCUGCAGAAGAACUUACAUAAGACUUAAUGACCUUUUUAAGAAAAGCAAAGUAAGGAUAAAGGACGGCAGGUAAAAUAAGGAGCAGCGAAGACGUCGCCUGGAAAUGCUGAUGCUGCCAAUGUUAACUUGAUGGCCCUUGAAGUCGAUGAUGAGCGUCCCAUGAAUCCCGGUGACAGCCGUCGCUAGGUGAAGGACAUAUAGUAAAGAUGAGGCCGCGGUGUAAUCUAGAGAGAGGGACACAGAGCGUUUCCCGAAUACAAUCCUGGCCAAGAGCUGGAAUCGACCGUCACCCAAUUAGAUUUGCGCUCCCCCCCCCCCCCCCCCCCAAGGAACUGUAAACAUGGAGUUGCCUUGGCAUAGAAGAAGAUGGGGGGGAGGGGCGUCUAGUAUUUGGGACCUUUGCCAUUCGGCGCUGCAGGGAUCAACUUAAAAUUUGAUCUCGUAGUGAUUGGAACAUCGGCAAUUGUGUAUCCGCGACGCUGGCCCCAGAUACCUCCGCCACGGUGAUCAGAUUACCGCUCAGCCGAGACCUGAGACACCACGAAAAAGGUCACUCUCAAAAUAGGAAUUAAUGAGAGAUGACACUCGACAGCACCGCUGCAAAACAACUUUCCGCUAAAUACACGAUUCUCCUGGCACAUUAAAUGAUCCCAUAAAGUGGAUCCGCAAACACUUUACGGCACAGAACAUACUGUUACAAUGUUUAUUGUGUAAUGUAGGAACGAGCGCCGGUGUCAAUUAGGAGGAUUGGGAUACGGUUACAUAAAAGGGGCUUAAUGGACGAAAUUCUUGCAUUUUUCCUUUAUCGGCGCAGAGGUGAAUUAAAGGGUCUGCACGCUCAUCCAGACUUUGCAAAAACAUCCUUCCAUUCUGUGUCCAGCAUAGACCUGUGUGUUUCCAUAGUUACAGACUACA
Long non-coding RNA from Hyla sarda, 1252 nucleotides. RefSeq lists it as uncharacterized. The transcript has 3 exons. The record is from RefSeq and is a predicted model, not a curated record. NCBI's taxonomy places the organism in Eukaryota, Metazoa, Chordata, Amphibia, Anura, Hylidae.